This 65-nucleotide transfer RNA is filed under the name Armandia sp. GK-2021. RNAcentral describes it as "tRNA-Met". Lineage: Eukaryota; Metazoa; Annelida; Polychaeta; Opheliidae. The record is from RNAcentral.
UUUCAGGUAAACUAACUAAGUUGUUGGACUCAUAAUCCAGAAAUGAGAAGAUUCUCUCUGAAAGC